RNAcentral lists this non-coding RNA (45 nucleotides) under Schistosoma mattheei. Lineage: Eukaryota; Metazoa; Platyhelminthes; Trematoda; Strigeidida; Schistosomatidae. The record is from RNAcentral.
AUCCGGCUGACGAGUUCCAAAUAGGACGAAACACGCGUCCUGGAU